CUCCUGCUUGGCCACCAUCUUUUCUAACCGGGGGCCUAGGAUCUUGCAGGGACCACACCAUUGCGCGUGGAAAUCCACCACCACGGGCUUAGGGCUGUUCACCACCCGCUCUUGGAAGUCGCCUCCGUCCUGCACGUUGAAGGCGCUGCCGCGGAUCGCCGAGCUGCCGAAGGCCCGGCCGGGUAAGCCCUGAGAGGCCAACGGCCUGGGCCCAAGGGGCAGCGGCCUGCGUCCCAGGGCCAGCAGCCGCCUCAGUGCCAGCCUCUGGGCCAUCUUCCCGGCCCGGAGGUGACCCCUGCCCAACCCCGCUUCCUUCCAGCGGUCCCGCCCUCCCGCACGCUGAUUGGCCUCCCUCACCAGAGCGGUGAGCUCUUAUUGGCUGCCGCGGCUGCCAGCUAGGGAGGAGGAUGUUGCACCGCAGGGGCGGAUCCCGAACGACGAUUGGUGGAGAAUAACGCCAAUCAGCGCUCAGGCCCCACCCUCGCC
Molecule: long non-coding RNA, 486 nt
Filed under: Gallus gallus (chicken)
Lineage: Eukaryota; Metazoa; Chordata; Aves; Galliformes; Phasianidae
Source: RNAcentral